Molecule: long non-coding RNA, 2302 nt
Organism: Ictidomys tridecemlineatus (thirteen-lined ground squirrel)
Lineage: Eukaryota; Metazoa; Chordata; Mammalia; Rodentia; Sciuridae
Source: Ensembl
CCUCCCGCGAACAAACGAUUAGGACCCACUUGCAGGCCUCACGGCCCCACAGGACCGCGCAGAGCCAAGGAAGACGCGCGGCCAAACCAGACCCACGCGAACGCGGACACUCACGCGCCCCGACACUCUCGGGCUCAGACUCUCCCAGGUCCUCACGGCUGGCCCGCCGGGAGCACCCGGACGCCCCACCUGGUGCCCUGCCCGCCCCACCGCACGGGCCAACGUCGCCGGUCCAGGCCCAGACGCUGGAAGGUAACGUCGGGAGGCUUGGUUUUCCCGGGGUCAUUAUUUGCCUCAAAUCAACAGGAGCAAGAGAACGGGACUCGUGAGAGAUGCGGAAACAAUGAAGAUGCCUGGCGCCUUGGAGGACGCGGAACUCCUGUCUCCGAGGAAGAGAACCCUUGAGGGGACGUUAGGUCGGGGCACCCAUGUUGCAGGUUCAGACUUUCACAGGUGUUAGGUCCCUAGGGGAGUUGGCAGAGGGAAGCUUUUGGGGGAACUUACAGCCAUGGGGUUCACCAAAAUAUACCCAAGGUGCUGCCCAAGGAAAGACAAUGGCUUCCUAUGGCCAAUACCCACUGUAAACUCAACUUUUCUGCAAAAGUCUAUUUGGGAGGAGAAUGAGCUAAAUACUUAGGUGGGUAUUUACUUCCAGUGGUAUAUACUUUCACUGCUCUUUCUGGAAGAAUAUGUGAAGAGUUUCUGUGCAAAUUUCUUUUAAAAAGCUGACCAAGAUUCUCCUGGUGGCACUGGAGAGGCUAGCAAAAGAAGUCAAAGUUUGGGGAAGUCACAAUGCUUCCCAACCAUCCUCAUGACACAAGUGGAAAAUAGUAAUAUUUGUAUGGCACACUGGAUUGUAUAUAUUAGGGAGUAAAUUGAGCUGACAUAAUAAAGAUCCCAAAAUACAGUGACCUGAAUAACGUAUCUUUAUUCCUCCCUCACGUAACGGGUGGGCAAUCCCCAGCUGGUAAGAUAGCCUUGCCCUCCUGAAUAAAUGUUUUUCAUCUUUCGGGCAAGAAGGUUCUUAAAAUUCUCAUAUCCAAGCCAACACGGCAGGGAGGGCAGCAGAAGCAGAAACAAUACUUCCUAGAGUUGCAACCCAGGAUAUUAUCAAGAAAGUAAAAAGAUAACCUACAGAAAUGGGAGAAAAAAAUCUUAAAUCUAAAUACAGGAUGAGGUUUUAGUAUCUAAUUCAUAUUAAGGAUUCUUUAAGACUGAACAAGGCAAACAGCCAAAUUAAAAUUUGAGCAAAGAACUGGACUAGACAUUUCUCCAAAGAAGAUACACAGUGUCCAACAAGCAUAUGAAAAGAUGUUUAACUAGUUAAUCUUUAGGAAAUGCAAAUCAAAACCACAGGUAUCAUUUCACAUGUAAUAGGAUGGCUAUGAUUUUUUAAAAGGAAAGUGAAGUGUUAUUGAUGUGGAGAAUUGGAAAUCAUCACAUCACACAGAGAGCUCUGAGAAACUUCAGGUUUGUACAGAAGGGCCUAGGACCAUUGUUUGGGAUUCAACCCAUAUACAAGGGAUGAAUUCACAGUUUUAUCUCCCAUUAGCAACUAUCUCUCAGACCAUUCAAUUUCCUGUGCUUGAUUUUAUCAUUAGUAAUUUCUGUGUUAACUCUUUGUAUAUGUUACAUUCUUUGAAGAAAUUUUCACAAAAUCUUAAAAGGCUGGAAUUAUUCUGGUUGUUCAGAUGACUAAACUGUGCCUGAAAGAAAGCAAAUCACUUCAAGUUCUCCUAACCUAAAGGGUUAACACUAUACAUAGGUCUUAUUCCAAAGCCCAUACUUAGGCCAAUAAUCAAAAAAAUAGAUACUUCCACUACUAUUUCUGGAAGAAUAUGUAAAGAGUUUCUGUGAAAAUACCUUUUAAAAUGCUGACCAAGAAGGUAACUCAUCCUCCUUAUCACUGAAGUACAGGAAAUCAUCUCAUGGCUUCAAAGAAUUUUAUCCACCAUCUAAUUUUAUCCACCUGAGCUCUAUGAAUAAAGAAGAAAAUCUUAUUAGAUAUAGCAAAUUGAUGUGUAAGUAGACACUAAAAAUCAAUGUGAAAGCAUGUACUUAAAGGGAAGCAUUUAGUCCAGCUGUCUCUAAAAAGGGUUAGGUCAAAAUGGCAGCAAAUUUGUUAAAAAUCCCUGCACAGUCCUACCAUUCAAGUAUAGGAGCUGCUAAAAAGGCCCAGGAGUGCUGGAGAUGUAGCUCAGGGGUACAGUGCUUAUCUAACAUACACAAAGCCAAGGGUUCAAUCCCCAGUACCACAUGUACACAGUACAGCAUAAAGGACCAAGACUUUAUGGAAAAUAAU